Molecule: microRNA precursor, 191 nt
Organism: Oryza sativa Japonica Group (Japanese rice)
Lineage: Eukaryota; Viridiplantae; Streptophyta; Magnoliopsida; Poales; Poaceae
Rfam family: MIR812 microRNA precursor family
Source: Rfam
AAUAAGUGUAGUUUUGCGUUGUUUACGUUAAACGUUUGACCGUUCGUCUUAUUUGAAUUUUUUUUAUGAUUAGUAUUUUUAUUGUUCUAAAAUAGUAUUUUAUGUGUGACUAGUUUUUAAAUUUAUUUAUAAAUUUUUCAAAUAAGACGGACAGUUAAAGUUGGACGCGGAAAACCAUGGCUGCACUUAUA